ACUGUCUCCAUUCUCUCCCUCGCAUCACGCAAGCGCCGCCUCUCCCUCUCUCGCGCCGGCCACCCCAUCGCCGCAGAUCGCGCCCAACCAAAACUUCGCCGCUCGUGGCCAUAUCCCCUCACGGCCUUCUCCACGCUCGAUCCCACUUCCAAUCCCGCCAUCGUUUGCAAACCCUAGCCCGUUCCCCAGAUCAGAUCGAGAUACCAUCGGCGCCCCUUGUCUCCCUCACUCCACGAUGAAGAGAAGCAGUUCUUCUUGCCGACAUGCUCGCUCUCCUUGUAGUGGUCGCGCUCCGGUCCGCACCGCCGGCCGCCGAGCUCGACCGGCUAGAGGACCCUGCCAAGAACGACGGGUCGCUAAUCCUGCUCGUCAACAAGAGCCGUCGAACACAACCCCUCGUGCGGUGGCCGCCGAUGAGCACGCAUGGGAGCCAGCGAACACUACGCCUCCGCCUGGCCUGGGGCUCCCGGACGGAUCAUCAUGGCCUCUAAGACGAAGCGAUGAUGGUGUAACAUCCUGAUCGACACACGGAGGAGCAGCGGCAGUGGCGGAUCUGUCCUCUAUUGCUUAAUGUUUCUUGGAAAUUACUCUACCAAGUGGUCCUUAGAAUAUGACCCUGCAGUAGCUACAACAUGUUAAGGACCAAC
Lolium perenne is the source of this 647-nucleotide non-coding RNA. The record is from RefSeq and is a predicted model, not a curated record. NCBI's taxonomy places the organism in Eukaryota, Viridiplantae, Streptophyta, Magnoliopsida, Poales, Poaceae.